UGAUGGGAUAAAACCGUGUAAUUCUAUGGCUAAUACAUGCGCACAUGCCUCUUCCCUCGUGGAAGGGUAGUGUUUAUUAGAUACAGAACCAACCCACCUUCGGGUGGUCCUCAGGUGAUUCAUAGUAACCGAACGGAUCGCAUUAUGGCCUUUUGGUCGGCGAUGGAUCAUUCAAGUUUCUGACCUAUCAGCUUUCGACGGUACUGUAUUGGACUACCGUGGCAGUGACGGGUAACGGGGAAUUAGGGUUCGAUUCCGGAGAGGGAGCCUGAGAAACGGCUACCACAUCUAAGGAAGGCAGCAGGCGCGCAAAUUACCCAAUCCUGACUCAGGGAGGUAGUGACAAGAAAUAACAACACUGGAAAUUAUAUUUCUAGUGAUUGGAAUGAUGGGAAUCCAAACCCCUUUCAGAGUAACAAUUGGAGGGCAAGUCUGGUGCCAGCAGCCGCGGUAAUUCCAGCUCCAAUAGCGUAUAUUAAAGUUGUUGCAGUUAAAAAGCUCGUAGUUGGAUAUCUGCUGGAAGCAGCCAGUCCGCCCUUUGUGGGUGUGCACUUGGUGAAUUCUGGCAUCCUCCUGAUUGGUGUUAUCAUCACUUCAUUGUGUUGAUGGCAGCUGUCAGGACCGUUACUUUGAGAAAAUUAGAGUGUUUCAAGCAGGCUUGUUGCCUUGAAUACUGCAGCAUGGAAUAACAAGAUAGGAUUUCGGUUCUAUUUUGUUGGUUUCUAGGGAAGUAAUGUUAAUAGGGACAGUUGGGGGCAUUCGUAUUUAACUGUCAGAGGUGAAAUUCUUAGAUUUGUUAAAGACGAACUACUGCGAACAUUUUGCCC
This 827-nucleotide ribosomal RNA is filed under the name Sarcocystis sp. Its description in RNAcentral is "SSU rRNA". It matches the Rfam family "Eukaryotic small subunit ribosomal RNA", at positions 136 to 960 of the family's 1831-position model. Lineage: Eukaryota; Apicomplexa; Conoidasida; Eucoccidiorida; Sarcocystidae. The record is from RNAcentral.